AGAGUUUGAUCCUGGCUCAGAACGUACGCUGGCGGCACGCCUAACACAUGCAAGUCGAACGAAGUAGCAAUACUUAGUGGCAGACGGGUGAGUAACAUGUAGGUAUCUGCCCUUUGGCCUGGAAUAACACGAGGAAACUUGUGCUAAUACCGGAUAAGUCUUUACGGAGAAAGCUUUAUGCACCAUUGGAUGAGCCUGCACUUGAUUAGUUUGUUGGUGGGGUAAUGGCCUACCAAGACUGUGAUCAAUAGCUGAUUUGAGAGGAUGAUCAGCCACAUUGGGACUGAGACACGGCCCAAACUCCUACGGGAGGCAGCAGUGGGGAAUCUUGCACAAUGGAGGAAACUCUGAUGCAGCGAUGCCGCGUGAGUGAAGAAGGCCCUUGGGUUGUAAAGCUCUUUCGUCGGGGAAGAAAAUGACUGUACCCGAAUAAGAAGGUCCGGCUAACUUCGUGCCAGCAGCCGCGGUAAUACGAAGGGACCUAGCGUAGUUCGGAAUUACUGGGCUUAAAGAGUUCGUAGGUGGUUGAAAAAGUUAGUGGUGAAAUCCCAGAGCUUAACUCUGGAACUGCCAUUAAAACUUUUCAGCUAGAGUAUGAUAGAGGAAAGCAGAAUUUCUAGUGUAGAGGUGAAAUUCGUAGAUAUUAGAAAGAAUACCAAUUGCGAAGGCAGCUUUCUGGAUCAUUACUGACACUGAGGAACGAAAGCAUGGGUAGCGAAGAGGAUUAGAUACCCUCGUAGUCCAUGCCGUAAACGAUGUGUGUUAGACGUUGGAAAUUUAUUUUCAGUGUCGCAGGGAAACCGAUAAACACACCGCCUGGGGAGUACGACCGCAAGGUUAAAACUCAAAUGAAUUGACGGGGACCCGCACAAGUAGUGGAGCAUGUGGUUUAAUUCGAAGAUACGCGCAGAACCUUACCAACACUUGACAUGUUCGUCGCGACUCUAAGAGAUUAGAGUUUUCGGUUCGGCCGGACGAAACACAGGUGCUGCAUGGCUGUCGUCAGCUCGUGUCGUGAGAUGUUGGGUUAAGUCCCGCAACGAGCGCAACCCUCACUUUUAGUUGCCAUCAUUAAGUUGGGCACUCUGAAAGAACUGCCAGUGAUAAGCUGGAGGAAGGUGGGGAUGACGUCAAGUCCUCAUGGCCCUUACGUGUUGGGCUACACACGUGCUACAAUGGUAUCUACAACAGGAAGCAAGACUGCGAAGUUAAGCAAAUCCCUAAAAGAUAUCUCAGUUCGGAUUGCACUCUGCAACUCGAGUGCAUGAAGCUGGAAUUACUAGUAAUCGUGGAUCAGCGUGCCACGGUGAAUGCGUUCCCGGGUCUUUUACACACCGCCCGUCACACCAUGGGAGUUGGUUCUACCUUAAGGCAAGGUUUAAAACCCUUGACCACGGUAUAGUCAGCGACUGGGGUGAAGUCGUAACAAGGUAACC
This 1436-nucleotide ribosomal RNA is filed under the name uncultured Pelagibacterales bacterium. Its description in RNAcentral is "bacterial SSU rRNA". It matches the Rfam family "Bacterial small subunit ribosomal RNA". The record is from RNAcentral. Lineage: Bacteria; Pseudomonadati; Pseudomonadota; Alphaproteobacteria; Candidatus Pelagibacterales.